This 6090-nucleotide long non-coding RNA is filed under the name Sparus aurata (gilthead seabream). RNAcentral's name for it is "lncRNA (ENSSAUG00010006516.1)". The record is from RNAcentral. Lineage: Eukaryota; Metazoa; Chordata; Actinopteri; Spariformes; Sparidae.
CGGAGAAGGACAGCUGGGGUAUAUAAAGGAGAGAGGUCUGGAGUCAUCUCCCAAAAAACCUUGUAGAACACUGACGCCAAGAAGAACCUCUAGAAACUCUCAAUCUUUACUGGAGUCCAGCAAUCAAAAAACAAAGAAGCUGCCAUACACACACACACACAAACACACACACACACACACACACCCACACACACACACAAAGGUUGCCUUGAAAGAAAAGUGAAGUUUUUGUCAAGAACUGUCUUCUGACACUGACAUGAUGGAAUCCUUGACCAGCCUGUACAAUGAUGACCCUUUCUUCAGCCAGGAGAGGUUGCUGUGGCCGCUGCGUCACAAGGCCCUGUCCUCUCUGCAGCAAGACUUCUUUAACCAGAGAGCCAAGCUGGUCGACAGUCUUCUAAGGGAGCUCCAUGAUGGGCCCCAUAUUCUCAAACCUUGGCAGUUUCCCCUCAUUUUCUCUACUUUGGUGAGGCUUAGUGAUGGUAAAGAGCAGCAGAGAGAGACGCCCAGCAUAGAGCUAUGCAAGGAUGCUCAGCCGGCCACAGAAAACAAUGGCGACCUUCUGGUGACCCUAGAUGCUCGCGGUUACACCCCAAAUGACAUCUCAGUCAAGCUAGAGGGCAGGAUCCUGGCAGUGGUGGCGGUGAAGCAGGCCGGUUUGGAGGAGAGCCAGUCCUGCUCCUCCUACUCCUCCUGUGCCUCUGUCUGUUCCUCGGCUUCGUCUCAAAUAGGAUUCGCCCAGAAGUUCGACCUGCCAGCUCACCUUGAUCUGUCUGGACUCUCCUGUUCCCUGAUGGAUGAUGGACAGCUGUGCAUCUACGCCCCCAGGGCCAGGCAGCCAGUCACUUUGGAACGCCAAGUGCCCAUUCGGUUCAGAGAGGAGAACCAAUCAGUCAAUCAAGACCAGCAACUCCUGAGAUGAGCAACACAGAGGUCCUGCAUCUACCAUCUUCUGAUGAUGUUGGCAGUCAUAUUAGGCAGUCGACAAGCAGGCAUGGAUCUGAAGAUGACUGUUUAAUGCCUGUGUCAAAUCAAGAUGCAGACCUGUUGUUAAGUGACGAGUCAGAUUCCCCUCUUGCCCUUGCCAUCCAAGUAUGUCUUGAGGACUCUGAAGUACACUUUGGACCCAUUUGUGGUGAUGAUGGUGAUAAUCAAGACUCCCCCCUUCCCUGGAAUCCAUAUGGCUUCAACAGUAUGCAGCACUCUACACUGAAUGACGGACCUGUAUCAUCAAGCAGCCUUCCAGCAUCACCAGACCCAUUUGAAAAAGAACUCCUUCUUGUGAAAGUAAGACGGGUAAACACAGUUGAUGAUGUCCUUAAUAUCUUCAUGGAACCAAAACUACUGAAUUCUAAUCUAAAAAUGGAGUUUACAAAUGAGAAAGCUGUGGACAGUGAUAGUGUGUCAAGUGAGGCAUACUCUGCGUUCUGGGAAGACUUCUUGGAACAGUGUGAGGGGGAAGAUGAACCAGACUACCAGACCAGUAGACCAGAAUGUAAGGGAUCUUACACAUGUUCCUCUUCUACUGACACUGUUAUAGCACUGUUUCUACAGAUUUACAUUUAUUUAUAUAUAGCAGGUAGAUAGCGGCAGUUGGGUAAAACGUCCCUCGCCAGUAGCCACACUUUACUUCCGGGUCUUAAUUGACCAGCUGGACCAUCAUACAUAAGCUGUGGCAUGUCGAUGCUCUCCCUCUCUUUGCUUCUUGGUCCGUGACUGUGUCAGCGUGUCCGCGGUCCCUGUCCAGUUUGGUGCCGGCUUCUCCCUUCGUCUCUGACGGUGUCGGGGCAUGCAAGUCUGCUGUCCUGGUCCAGCCUGGUGCCGGCUUCUCCCCUUUGGCUCCGACGGUGUCAGCGUGUGUGAGUCUGCUGUUCUGGUCUAGUGUGGUGCCGGUUUCUCCCUGCUUCUCCGCUUCCGCGUUAGUGUGUGUGAGUCUGCGGUCCUGAUCCUGUUUGGUGCCAGCUUGUAUGACAAACUUUGCGGACGCUGCAAGUGGUGUAUGGAGAUAAAAGGCGGACUUUGUUUUAUAUGGUGUACUUUAUUUUUUUACAGUGGUUUGAAUUAUUUGUUCUGUUUUGUUGCAGAUUGCCACUGCUGUUUUGUUUUGUUUAGGUUCUGUUGGAUUUAGUUUGUUUUGUUUUGUGUGACUUCAGAGCCGGCCCAAGCCUCCAUGGGGCCCUAAGCAAAAUUUGAUUUUGGGGCCCUCUAUUACUGCCAAUAAUAAUGAUUAUUGUCAUUAUUAUCAUUACGAAUACACUUGUAGAACUAAAUGUGAGAACUUUUUGUUGUAGUUAGAUUGUAAUCCACAGUGAUUAAUGCCAUGGAAGCAGACACCAGAUUUGCAAAUUUACAGAAAAAUCUUUCAAUUAAUAUUUGGCAAAGUCAGCAACUCCCCCUAAUGGCGACACAUUUGUAGUCAAUACAUAAAACCUUAAAGAGCAGCCAAACAUGUUUUACCCAUCUAUGGUUUUUAUUCUGAAAUGGUAGCAAAUUCAGCUACAAGAGCAGCCUGGGGUUGAUUAACACUUAAUAUUCAAAGUGAUAUAGUACUAAGUGGGAUACCGAAUGUCAUCUAGGCCAAUUAAAAGUAACAAAAUAAACUAAUCGUUUACUGCAAACACAAUCUGCUUUAUCAUUAUUUUUUUGAAUAAACUGCAACACCAAAUGUAUGAAAACAGACAGUAUUAAAUACAAUAAAUUUUUAAAAAAUCAGACAAAUACUAGGUACAAGGUAACACAAAUGGUUUAUAAAUAAAAUAUUAAGAUGAAUUAGGUCUGAAAACUAUGUAAAAAUGUGCAAAAUCUUUGGUAAAAUGGGACGGGGGCUUCGGCCAUCGUGUCUUUUUGGGAAUAUGACUGUGUCCUCUAUAGGCAGUGGCCCUCUUAAUACCUGUUCAGUCCUUUCUGAGUCUGACAAGAAAGAGGGACACUCAGCUGGGUCAACUGGCGGAGCUGCUGAUCCCUGCACCAAACUGGACGCUGAUGAGGACAAAUCAAUCUCGAUGACCAAAGAUGAAGGACCUACAGGGAAAUUACAAUAAUAUUUUGGACAAAAUUAUUCAUCUCAGAAUAUUCUGCAGUACACUGAGCAAUUAUAAAGGCUGUUUUGUUGUUAACUUACCAGGUACAGCUGAGGUUGCAGAAGACACAAAAGGGACAGUGGGCACAGAGGAUAGAGAUGGACCUAAGAUGAAAAACAAGCUAGCCAUGUUAUAGUCAUAUUACACUUGAAAAUGAUGCAGCUUAUUUUCUAAAUAAAAAAAGUACAGCUAUAGCUUGUAAUAAGAAAAGUUUUGAAAUAAUAUGGAUUUGCGUAAAAUCAUGUCCCUUGUCAUAUAAUUAUAUGUUAUAUUAAAAAGAAAAUUCAUCUCAGAAUGUUCUGCAGUGCACUGAGCUAUUAAAGGCUGUUUUAGAGAUGGACUUGAGAUUAAAAAAAAAAAAAACAUAUCCCUUGUCAUAUGAUUAUAUCUUAUAUUAGUAUAUCUUAAUGAGAUAAUUUGACUAGAAAUUAAAUAUAUAUGGUGACAGUUUUUUGAUCACCUCAUUCAUCAGCCUUGGCUGCUCCUGAGGAGGUGGAUUGCCCCUGGGCUGAGUCAGUGCCUCCAAAAUAUUUUAACAGUGCUCCUGGGGAAGUUUCAUAUAAGGUAUGAGCAUAUUAGGGAGAUGAUGUAAAAGGAAUAUGUUUAUUUAGUCACAUUAGUUACUGUGCUCUGCAGCAAACAAUUGCAAACAACAUACCUCAAACUAGUUAGUUAACUAAAUUAUUUAAUUAAUGCAGAACCAUAUUGCUAGCAAACGUCACCGCGUUUGUAAUUAACGUUAGUUAUUAAACAUUUGCUAUCAAACAGUGUUAUCAAAAACGUUGUUUUGAUGCCAAAAAGUGACCCAGAAUAAUGUAUAUACACUGAAAAUCAACUAAUUCAAAGUAUUACACAAACACAAAAACGUUAGCUUGAAUAGUAAGCUAUCUAACCUAGUCAGACGUUUUGAACUAAUGUUAGCUAGCAAAUUUGCUAUUAUAGACUAAUAUACAGUAUUUGGAACAAAAUAUCAACAAAUGUUACAUUACUAAGACAUACCUUUAUCUUGUCGUCUUCAUCUUUCUUCCUUUUUCUUUUUUCUGCCCCUGAAGGGUAAGUCCUUUUUUGCGACAUCUUUCACCUGCUUCUAGCUCCUGGAUGCUGCGUGCGCACUGCACGGUUGGCUGCACUGCACACAUCUCUAGCAGUACUCUAACAUUUCGAGCAGAGAGGCAGUAGGAAACUACACUCUUUGUUGUUGGGGUUUUGUUGUUGUUGUUUUUUUGUACAAGUAUGUACAUUUGAUAAUAUAUGAAUCAUCAUUACUCACACAUGGAAAAAAAAAAUUACUUUUUUCUUUUUUAAGUGAAUUGCUCUUGGGGGCCCUCUAGUGGUCACGGGGCCCUAAGCAGCUGCUUAGUUCGCUGAUGCCUUGGGCCGGCCCUGUGUGACUUGGUUGUUUAGUUUCCAUGUAGAUUCUUGCUCUCUUUGGCUUAAAGUUAAUUCUUCUAGAUUGGGUUUAUUUUGUUUUGUCCCACUUAAUUUGUUUAUUAUUUCCCACCAAGGAGGAAAAGAAACUAACAGAGCUGCAUUGCCUAUUUGUGCGUUUUUUAUGGAGAGCUAAUGUGUUUCCCUCUCUCUGUGAGUGCUGUAGGGGCAGCGGCAAGUGAGGCCGGCCGAUGGUGGAGGGUUUGGUGAUAGAGUCUCUCACCUGUACUUCACACCCCCUCUGAUUUUGUGUGCUUGGUAAUUAUAUUUGCACGUCCCUCACGAUUUUAUAGUUGAUCCCUUUCUUUGUUUGGUUUUGCUGUGUGCAUGUGUGUAGGGCACUGGAGUGGGGUGAGUACUCUGUCCCAGUGUGAAUUGUCCCUCUGCCGUCUGCGGCCUCGGCCGCCUAUCCUCAGUACGCUCCUAGUCAUUUUUUAACUGCUAGCUUUAAUAAAUUGCCUCUUUUAAUAUUAAUAAUUGUUGUUGGCAGCUCUGUAAAUAAAACUGUAAUCUUGGUGGGAAACACCCUUGUCUCAGUCCAUCAUUCUUGUCGAUCUGUAUCAGUAAAAGAAUCUGUGGCACCUUUAUUAGGUGAUUGAAGUAUUUAAAGUACCAAUAAGAUUUGAAGUGGAUGGUGAAAUUGCGGGCCUUGCCACGGUCUAGUCACAUAUAUUUAAAAAAAACUUUGUUCAUUCAUGUAUUACAACUAAGAAAAAGUGUACUACAAGAAGAGGAGAUGAAAUCAGAUGCAUAAUCUGAUGACAAUGCUUUAUUACUCUUAAAACUGAAACAGUUUUUACAUUGUCUUGUUUUUGUUAUUUUCUUAUUUUUAAUGAUUUUGCCAUAUUAUUUGUCAGCACACUGAGUUUAACAUUUUGACACCUUAAGUUAAAUCAUUUUGAUAAGUCAUCAAGGUCUGCUCUCAUAGGUGAGCAUCCCUUUUUUCAGGCAUGUAUCAUUUUCACAUUAUCCUGUGCAUGUUUUUUGCAAUUGUUAUUAAGAAAGAAGUUCAGCUUCAACAAAAUGAUACCUGUUCGAUACACAUACAGUACCAUUUCAAAUGGCUACCCAUGGCUGUUUUUGCUGGAGUGUCAUAUGGUAAACAUACAGACAGUAACUGUCAAGAGCACAAUAUUGUGGAAUAAAAAUGUAAUUGCUCUUUCAUGUCCUGCCUUGUUGUUUUUCUUUGCUGUGAUUUUGUUCGUUUCCUAUUCAUGGCUGAUGUAAAGUAAAACAUCUACGACAAUACUAUAGUUGUAAAACAAAUGUAAGUCUCUAUUUCCAGCACAAAUUACUGAGAAGAGCUAAUACUCUGUCAUUUGAAAAAUGUACACUUCUGUGCUUCAUUGAAUGGGGAUUACCCGAAGAGACAGAAGUAACUGAGACAGCCUAAAUCCACACAAGAACUGCUAAAAGUUAUCCAUGACAGGCAAAACCUGCCAAAUACCUUGGAAAAACUGUGCACAAUAUCGCUGCAAAAGUUCUUAAUGUUUAACACUCAGUGUGCACAUAGUGACAGAUUAAUCCCUUUUCCAAGGAGAAAUAAUCCAAAAUUCCAAAUAUAGCUUCUACAGAGUUCCUG